This 253-nucleotide ribosomal RNA is filed under the name uncultured bacterium. RNAcentral describes it as "partial 16S ribosomal RNA". It matches the Rfam family "Bacterial small subunit ribosomal RNA", at positions 524 to 776 of the family's 1533-position model. The record is from RNAcentral.
UACAGAGGGGGCAAGCGUUGUUCGGAAUUACUGGGCGUAAAGCGUGCGCAGGCGGUUUUGUAAGACUGUCGUGAAAUCCCCGGGCUUAACCUGGGAAUGGCGAUGGUGACUGCAAGGCUAGAGUUUGGCAGAGGGGGGUAGAAUUCCACGUGUAGCAGUGAAAUGCGUAGAUAUGUGGAGGAACACCGAUGGCGAAGGCAGCCCCCUGGGUCAAAACUGACGCUCAUGCACGAAAGCGUGGGGAGCAAACAGG